CACUGGUCUAUGGUUAGUUUUGCAGGUUUGCAUCCAGCUGUAUAAUACUCUGCUGUGCAAAUCCAUGCAAAACUGACUGUGGUGGUG
This is a microRNA precursor of Cricetulus griseus (Chinese hamster), 87 nucleotides long. Ensembl annotates it as microRNA mir-19b. Its record names the gene Mir19b. The record is from Ensembl. NCBI's taxonomy places the organism in Eukaryota, Metazoa, Chordata, Mammalia, Rodentia, Cricetidae.